This 502-nucleotide long non-coding RNA is filed under the name Citrus sinensis (sweet orange). Its description in RNAcentral is "long non-coding RNA (CSIN_LNC004943)". The record is from RNAcentral. Lineage: Eukaryota; Viridiplantae; Streptophyta; Magnoliopsida; Sapindales; Rutaceae.
UCAAUCUCGACGACUUUCUCCUUACCUUUCGACAUUCCCUAAGCUCUAACCACAACACCACCAACUACUACCCAAACAGAAGAGAAGAGAAAUUAUCUACAACUAUCCGAGACCAAGGAGAUAGAAGAAAUACCUGAAGUAAUGGUUCAGUCGGUGAAAGUCAGAGAUGGAGGCCUUUUAUGCCGGAACUUCUUUGCCGGAGAGACAGAGACGGAGACGGAGUGAAUGAUGAAUAUGCCGUUCGAGAGGAUUUGGUUUUCCUAAUGGGGACGGACUCGUGGGUUGCCAGCAUUUAACGGCGCCGAAUCCCGAGGGUCUCAUAACCGUCGGUUUGAAAUUCAAAUGGAGGGGGGGAUUUCUGCCACGUCACCUCGUCCGCAAUUAAAUGCGACAUGACUCUUGGCAGCCUUUUCCAAUCCCACGCGAGCGAGUACUAUCGAGUUUCUACUGCUGGUCCACUACAUUACCCAACACCAGAAACUGGGGGACCGGUGUUUAGGAG